GUACCACAUGCAAAUUCACUUAUGUUGUUUGUUCUCAUUUGGUUGAUCGGUAAAAGCCCUUAAAUUAUGAAAGGGUAAGUAGGCGUCACCGACGUAAAUCUUAUAUCAUAGAUCUAUAUUAUAUAUGCUUUUGGCUGGAACACAACAUAUAGGACUACUUUCAUGGUUGUUUUCUCCCACGUACACCACAGACGACCCACCUCAACCUCCAAACGGCAGGUAGCUAAAUACGUCCUUAGCUGUCGUUCAUAUAUAGUUCUUGGCAACAAAUUAAGAGGGAAAGAAAAACCAUCAAAACAAGAAAACAAGACAAAACAAAAGCAAAAAGGUAAUGCAAAUCAGUGAGCGUGGUGGAAUAAUUAGCUCAUGAAUCAAAGUCAUAGUCACAGUCAACUAUACCUUAAAACUGAUCAAAGGUUUUUAUCAUUGUCUCUAUGUUUAACAGUCAUAAUAGGGAUGUUACUACUAAAAUGAGAUUAUUUUAUAUUUUUUGGCUUAUAUGUUAUGUGUGACCCUAUCAAAGUAGAAUAUACUAAACAAAUCAGGUAGCUAAAAACUAAGGGCGG
This 566-nucleotide long non-coding RNA is filed under the name Trifolium pratense (red clover). RNAcentral describes it as "long non-coding RNA (TPRA_LNC003022)". Lineage: Eukaryota; Viridiplantae; Streptophyta; Magnoliopsida; Fabales; Fabaceae. The record is from RNAcentral.